RNAcentral lists this ribosomal RNA (253 nucleotides) under uncultured bacterium. Its description in RNAcentral is "partial 16S ribosomal RNA". It matches the Rfam family "Bacterial small subunit ribosomal RNA", at positions 524 to 776 of the family's 1533-position model. The record is from RNAcentral.
GACGAACCGUGCGACCGUUGUUCGGAAUCACUGAGCAUAAAGGGCGCGUAGGCGGCUUUUCAAGUCAGGGGUGAAAUCCGGCAGCUCAACUGUCGAAGUGCCCUUGAUACUGAUGAGCUCAAGGGAGGUAGGGGUGUGUGGAACUUCCGGUGGAGCGGUGAAAUGCGUUGAUAUCGGAAGGAACGCCGGUGGCGAAAGCGACGCACUGGACCUCUUCUGACGCUGAGGCGCGAAAGCUAGGGGAGCAAACGGG